Long non-coding RNA from Symphalangus syndactylus (siamang), 1215 nucleotides. RefSeq lists it as uncharacterized. NCBI's taxonomy places the organism in Eukaryota, Metazoa, Chordata, Mammalia, Primates, Hylobatidae. The record is from RefSeq and is a predicted model, not a curated record.
ACAGGACAGACUGCGGAGGCCGCACCUAUUGAAGAAGACAAAAACAAUUAUUGUGUGGACCUUUGACCCCUGGCAUAUAUAAAAGCACUGAAUAAAGCAGAAUUUGGGUCUCUUCUCUAUCAGGGGACCGUCCCUCCUAAUCCUGCUUCUCUGUGUCUUUCUUUCAUCAUUCUUCCCACUACUUCUCGGCUUCUCGGUGCAUUCCUGAAUAACCCCUGUGGCCGGACCGCAAGAGGUGGUGCCCGAACAGGGACCCGAGAAAUACUGUGGAAAGAACGCCCAGUUCUGGUGUGCUGACCAUUUCCUGAGCUGGGAAACUGUGGGAGAGAUGACAAGAAUGAAGAAUCCAGCCUGCGUGACCCAGAGACCCAAAUGUGACACAGGAAGUCUGAUGUUUAAGAAAACAUGGGCUCAGCAUUCUGAAAGGUCUAGAUAUGCCUUGGCCUGGAGCUGGUGUAGAAAAGAAGCAAGAGAGAUGCUCAGCCUUAGGUGGCCCAGGCACAGCGGUCCUGUCAAGGGGCUGAGCUCUCUGCAACAUGGAUAUCCUGCAGAGACAUCCUUGGGGAGGCUGUGAUCCCAGAAUGAUGCAAAAGUGCUAAUGGAAGUGAGCAGGGGAUGGUUUAUGGGGGAAUGAGGAGACGGGUGUGGGGUCAGAUGUGGUAAGGAGGGUGCAGCCUGAGGAGGAGGCUGUCCAUUGUGAGUCACAGGAGGAGGAGGCCCGGGACCUAGAGCAGUGAUUAAAAGAGGACCUGGAAGGACCUACGCCCUGAAGACACACAGGGACUGGGGUUUUGGUUUGUCUGUGAGGGUCCCUGAGGAGGAUCACAUAAAAAAUCCAUAGUCAGUGUCCUCUGUCCAGGGCUCACUGUCCCAGCUGUUGUUGCUCCCGGAGCCUCUGGGUGACCUGGUUCCUUAGCUGUGGACCUGCUCCUCUCUCUGUCCUCAGCCUAAGAGCUGAUGGGGCAUCCGCCAGGAAGCACAUCCAUGGGCUGGGAGGGGGCCGUGUGCAGGCUUGUCCUGUAUGUGAGACACUGCUCAGCCUUGGUGACCCCCUGUUCAUUAAAGUGGGAGGAAAGGAAAACAAAAUUCACUGUGAACAUCUAUGCAUCAUCAAAGAAAAAGCAAUGAGAAAAAACAGGAAGUGAAGCCCAGCUCUAAUAGUUUAUUACUACUUGGAAAGAAAUAAAACUUAAUAUGCUUGAUGUGUUAUGUAAA